This is a long non-coding RNA of Micropterus dolomieu (smallmouth bass), 2295 nucleotides long. RefSeq lists it as uncharacterized. The record is from RefSeq and is a predicted model, not a curated record. The transcript is spliced from 9 exons. NCBI's taxonomy places the organism in Eukaryota, Metazoa, Chordata, Actinopteri, Centrarchiformes, Centrarchidae.
GUGUAUUUUCUUUUUUUGACAGGUUAAGGAAUGAAAUCCUAUUAAAUGUGGAGUAAUGGUUUCCUAUAAGGAGGUCAGAAAAUGUGUGAUGCAUUUUUGAAAAUUCUUCUCUGUGCCUGUUUGCUGAUUCCAAUAAUAUCAAACAUGAAGUUAUAAGUGACACAUUCAAGUGAUUUUGUGUAUGCUGAUAUAAUAGUCUUUAUAUUAGUACUUUUUUAUGUUUUAUUUUAUUUCCCUCUCUUUGUUUGGCAGGACGACUCUGCACAGUCACUGUCAAUAUGUGUGCGUGUGAACCAUAAGCCUGCGCUCUGCUCAGAGCCCUGGUGGGAGAGUCAAUAUCCCAGUUUAGGCAUCACCACUUCCGACAAAGAAGUUUGAUAGAUGUUUGCCCACAGUUUGAUGGGACCACAUGCCCAGCAUGUCCAAAGGCGGAUGGAGAUAUGAUAGUGACACUGGAUGCCAACUUUGGCCUUGUGAGGAAGCAAAGCUCUGGGACAAGUGUGGUUGAGCCGUUGCAUGGAACCCGCAAGUUUGUUGAUGAAAAGAAUGUAGAGGAAUACCUGCUAUCACAUCGUGACAGCUCAAAGCCUCGUGAGGUUAGUCACAGUUGCAGUUGAGUCUAUAAAAUGUUGGAUUUAACUCCUAGAAAAAGACCAUUACUCUUCCCAUAAAUGUAAUUUCCUUAAAAAUUUAGUACUGUAGUAACUUCAAGGCUGGCAAUGUGCUGAGGUCACAAAAACAAGCGAAGAAACUCGAUGUUACAGGAGUGUUUGGAGCCUCUUGUCGUCAUGAAAUGCCCCUAAUGUUUGUCAACAUGAGCCAAGGAGAACGGUAAGGCUACGCCACUGCAGUCACAUAUAUGACUAUUGACUCAGUCUUUUCCAGAGUCACAAAGGAGAUGACUCCCUCGCACCGCUUGGACCUGUUGACUGAUGCCCUUCUGCAUUAUGGACGGAGGAAAUCAACUGACCUAGAGGUGCAGCUCCUGCAACAAUUAGAUGAAGCAGAGAAAAUAUCAACUCUCGCUCAAGAAGACAUCUCAUCUGUCAUCAGAGAAGCACCAGUGUUAGUCUCAGAGCGAGACAUGGAGAGAUGGAAGAAAAGGGAGCAGGAGCUAGCCCAAGAAAAUCCAAAGUCAAUAAACACUAUCUGUAGAUGGAAAAGGGACGACAUCACUAAGCUGAUUCAGUUCUACAUGUUCAAAAUUGAGAACUCUCUGCUAAACAUGGAGAAAAAACACAGCAUUCGGAGAAGAUGGCAAGAAUCUGAUUUAAUCUUCCAGUCUACCCUUAAAGAAGUUGACCGUGAUCUCAGAGGCCAACUGAUCUGGAAGGCUAGAACUGAAUGAAAGGAGAGAGCUGUCCUCCUCCAUCUGAAGAGAAAAUUUCCAGAUGGGCAGGGCGUUGCCGUUAGACUGUCCAAGCAGGUUGCCAACUCCAACAAGAGACUGAGACAGGCAAUAAAAGAGUACAACAGCAUUCAGUGGCCACCACAGAUGAGCAUCUUCCCUGCAACAAUUGAUUUUCAAGAAUCAUGUGAUCCCUCUUGGCCACUCUACUUCUGUUUUGAUGACACUGUUGAAGAAGAUGAUGUUCCAAGGAGUCUGAAAAGGCGAGGGAUUGAUGCCUUACAUAUGAAGACUCGGGCCGCUGAGGAAAAGCACACGCUUUACCAGGAAAUGAGAACUGUAGCUGACCACCUCCAACAGCAGCACGCCUUCCUGUGUUCUGCCAUCAAUGACACAGAGCAGCCAAGUGCAAAAGCUGUCCUCAUCCAACGUCUCAAACAGCUGGAAAGUAUACUACAUCACGCCACUGAUGUUCGACCAACAUGUACCAGACAUUGUUCCUGGAAUGCAUGGUUAUGUCACCCCAGACAACCCCUGCCUGUCUUGGGCCCUCCCCAUGUCAAGCAUACAGACACUGGUAUACAGUGAUGAUGAUGAUCAUGAUGACGAUGAUAGCAACUAGGUCUGUAAGCACUCUAGACGAGGGGUGGUUUUCUGCUUCUGGAACGAAUACUUUGAGCAAAUUUGUACGUUUUGUUAUACAUAAUUAAAAAUGCCUCCUUAAUUCAAGACUAACUAACAUGCAUCAGACUCAGACAGUUAGGUUCUGUGUGUGUCUUUAUUGUAACUGGUCACAAUCAAAUUAAGGCUGUGUUGCUGAUCACUUUAUUAGUGGAACUGCAACAGAGUCCAUGUUUGUUUUUCAUGAGCUGUGAACUGUCCUGCCAAUUUAAACAAAAAAUGGCUUAAACUUGCUGUUUUGGACAAUAAACACUGUUUUUGUAGAA